Molecule: ribosomal RNA, 104 nt
Filed under: uncultured bacterium
Lineage: Bacteria
Description: partial 16S ribosomal RNA
Rfam family: Bacterial small subunit ribosomal RNA
Source: RNAcentral
CCUUGUACACACCGCCCGUCACACCAUGGGAGCGGGAUGUACCAGAAGUAGGUAGGCUAACCGCAAGGGGGCCGCUUACCACGGUGCGUUUCAUGACUGGGGUG